Molecule: ribosomal RNA, 490 nt
Filed under: uncultured bacterium
Lineage: Bacteria
Description: partial 16S ribosomal RNA
Rfam family: Bacterial small subunit ribosomal RNA
Source: RNAcentral
AUUGAACGCUGGCGGCAGGCCUAACACAUGCAAGUCGAACGGUAACAGGAAGAAGCUUGCUUCUUUGCUGACGAGUGGCGGACGGGUGAGUAAUGUCUGGGAAACUGCCUGAUGGAGGGGGAUAACUACUGGAAACGGUAGCUAAUACCGCAUAACGUCGCAAGACCAAAGAGGGGGACCUUCGGGCCUCUUGCCAUCGGAUGUGCCCAGAUGGGAUUAGCUAGUAGGUGGGGUAACGGCUCACCUAGGCGACGAUCCCUAGCUGGUCUGAGAGGAUGACCAGCCACACUGGAACUGAGACACGGUCCAGACUCCUACGGGAGGCAGCAGUGGGGAAUAUUGCACAAUGGGCGCAAGCCUGAUGCAGCCAUGCCGCGUGUAUGAAGAAGGCCUUCGGGUUGUAAAGUACUUUCAGCGGGGAGGAAGGGAGUAAAGUAAAUACCUUUGCUCAUUGACGUUACCCGCAGAAGAAGCACCGGCUAACUCCGUG